CCUACGGGAGGCAGCAGUGGGGAAUUUUGGACAAUGGGCGCAAGCCUGAUCCAGCAAUGCCGCGUGAGUGAAGAAGGCCUUCGGGUUGUAAAGCUCUUUUGUCAGGGAAGAAACGGUGGGAGCUAAUAUCUCUCACUAAUGACGGUACCUGAAGAAUAAGCACCGGCUAACUACGUGCCAGCAGCCGCGGUAAUACGUAGGGUGCAAGCGUUAAUCGGAAUUACUGGGCGUAAAGCGUGCGCGGGCGGUUUUGUAAGUCUGUCGUGAAAGCCCCGGGCUCAACCUGGGAAUUGCGAUGGAGACUGCAAGGCUUGAAUCUGGCAGAGGGGGGUAGAAUUCCACGUGUAGCAGUGAAAUGCGUAGAGAUGUGGAGGAACACCGAUGGCGAAGGCAGCCCCCUGGGUCAAGAUUGACGCUCAUGCACGAAAGCGUGGGGAGCAAACAGGAUUAGAUACCCUGGUAGUCCACGCCCUAAACGAUGUCUACUAGUUGUCGGGUUUUAAUUAACUUGGUAACGCAGCUAACGCGUGAAGUAGACCGCCUGGGGAGUACGGUCGCAAGNUUAAAACCGUCAAAAGUAGUAGUACGGCGUCGUAGACGUAGCCGACGGACGACCACGACGGGAGGUUAGGAGG
Molecule: ribosomal RNA, 635 nt
Filed under: uncultured bacterium
Lineage: Bacteria
Description: bacterial SSU rRNA
Rfam family: Bacterial small subunit ribosomal RNA
Source: RNAcentral